CAAGAUUUUCUUUCCACCUGUGAUAUCUGGGAUAAUGCUAAUCAUUUUGCAUUGGGUCUUUUCUCUACUGGGUAUUCCUAACCUUCCACUGACAGAUAAUCAAGACCAUCCAACUGACUAGGCCCAGAACGAUUCGUCGCAAUGGAGACCGGGUCCUAGUGUGAGGUUUGGACCAUUUCAACAUCAUCCCAGAUAUCCUGCGGGCUCCUCUCUCCUCGACACUAAGGCUGCAAGACUCACCCGGCUGCUGUGCUUUGUGUCUGCAAAUUUUGCGGUGAUUUCCCCAUUAACAUGAUGAACUGAAUACGGAAGCUUUGAACUUACUCCAGGCUGCUCCGGGGAUUUGGAUCUAAGGACUCAAUUUGGUUUGGAAUUCUGUUGAUGCUCACUUCUAUUGCUGCUUGCAUGAUUUACUUUGAGUUUUUUCUCUUUCUCUGUGGAAUUCGGGGGUUGGUCUUUUUUUUUAAUUGGGUUAUUUCAGGUUCCUUCCUUUGCGACUGCUUGUAAGCAAACAAAUCUCAAGGUUGUAUUAAUUAUAUAUAUUAUUUGAUAAUAA
Long non-coding RNA from Hypanus sabinus (Atlantic stingray), 556 nucleotides. RefSeq lists it as uncharacterized. The record is from RefSeq and is a predicted model, not a curated record. The transcript has 3 exons. NCBI's taxonomy places the organism in Eukaryota, Metazoa, Chordata, Chondrichthyes, Myliobatiformes, Dasyatidae.